RNAcentral lists this ribosomal RNA (484 nucleotides) under uncultured Glomus. RNAcentral describes it as "eukaryotic LSU rRNA". The stretch from base 113 to 266 matches the Rfam family "5.8S ribosomal RNA". Lineage: Eukaryota; Fungi; Glomeromycota; Glomeromycetes; Glomerales; Glomeraceae. The record is from RNAcentral.
AUUACCGAUUUUAGCGAACCCGGUCGCUUCUGACUGAGGUCUCGCAACCUGUAUUUAAAACCCACGCUUUUUUUAAUAAUAAAAAUUAUCGUAUCAAAUUAUGAUAAAAGAUCACUUUCAACAACGGAUCUCUUGGCUCUCGCAUCGAUGAAGAACGUAGCGAAGUGCGAUAAGUAAUGUGAAUUGCAGAAUUCCGUGAGUCAUCGAAUCUUUGAACGCAAAUUGCACUCCCUGGUAUUCCGGGGAGUAUGCCUGUUUGAGGGUCAGUUUAAAUAAAUAUCGUGGUGUUGCUUUUUUGUGACGCUUCGGAAUUGGGUCAUCUUGAUCCUCUGGGGUUAAGCGGCCUAAAAUUGAUGUUAUUUCUGUGCAUCUCGGACGUACAUAAGAAUUUUUUUUAUCCGUCAGGGUUGUCAGGUUCUUAUUAGGUAUGAUCACGUUUCUUGUGAAACCAUACCUAUAACGUAACUCAUAUUUUGACCUCAAA